UACGGUGGAAAGCACGUGCUGUGCCUUCCGGACGGCAAGUACUUCGUACCAACACAGAAGGCACGCGUGGCGGCCUACUUGCUGUACGACUCUGUGCGAUAGGGACUAAAUACGGCGAAGUCGAACCUACUCAGAGGUAGCACACCUUGGCCUGAUCUUUCGGCGCUGUUACUAAGGGCAACGGGUGGCGAUACCUAGCACGGUAGGUACUUCUUGUGGACCCUGACCUUGGACCUCCUCCUGUAAUCUGCGUUUACGCGACCGGACGUACUAAGGUCCUGGACCUUAGUAUGGUCGGCUACCAUGGUAUAUUGACCUUAAUUGGGUACGUUCAGCUUCUUCCUAACCGGCCACGACGGCCGACCGCAGUUCAAGCUAGGGUGCCUAGUCCUCGACUAGCUCGUGGAACUCCGGUUUCAGUCACGACUGUCGCGCUCUGGAGUGGGAGAGUAGCUAAACAAGUAUGGUUGGUAGCUGUCGCUCGUGCCGUAUACGAUGUGGGUAGGACUCUUUGAAGGUCCAUAGUGUGACUCACCGGAUUCGUUAGUAAAGAAGGUCGCGUUAAGGUCCCGCAAGUUUUCCCCGUGCACCCGCGCAGCGUUCUAUGUCAGCCUUACGCCGUACGUGCGCUACACCGUGUUGUGGUCGUUAUGGAACGGCCACUACCAGUUGCCGGCCGUCUGCCCGUCGUUUUUCCAAGACCACGACGUGUGGUUGUUCUUGAAGUUGGUCGUCUCCUGGUUGACCCACUACGUGGUCAUGGUGGAGCCCCUGGACCUCGUUCUCUUCCUCGUCCUCGACCAGGAGAUGUUCUAAAAGAUGGUCUGCUUGUGAUCCCGGUCCUCAUUUUUCUAAUAUUCGGGUCGGGUACUGCUGUUGCCCCGUGUUUCUAGGUCGUCAAGUAUAUGUGCAUAGUAAUAUAACUUUCUGGCGCCGAGGAGGCUAGAAGGACUCGAACCCGAAGCAGCACGGGACCCCUAGUCAGCCCGCGUGCCGUCGUCCGAGGCCCGCCGCCUCUGUCUGCUGUUCCGCCCCCGCUGCGGGGUUCUUUCGUUACGGCGGAGUGGGAAGAAGUCUCAGUGAGCAGGGUCGGAGGCGUUUCCCCACGAGGGCCUGGAGUAUUGCUGGGACCACCUCGCGCCCCUAGGGAGCUGGCUCACGAGCCGCCGCCGCCGCAGUAGUCUCUCUGGCACCUUUUCGAGCCAGAUGCUACCCCCUCUCCAGAGGCGGUGUAGCAGAUACCAGCGGAGGCUCAGGAUGAGAGGGAUGGGGAGCCUACCCGAGCAGAGCGCGAGGGCAACCGACCCAGUCGGCACCGGCGCACGUCCUCCAAAACCGGUUAGGCGAGGCGCGAAGGUCUCGGUUAGGCGGAGCAGGGUGAGGGCGUAGAGUCGGCAGUAUGUUUGGGAUCGGGGCAAAAAGGAGCUAGGGGUCAGGGGUGUGCGAGGACGGAGGAGGUAGGGAGGAGGAGCGCACUGGUGCCGGAGGCGGGACGUCGGAGCGGCGGAGGACGAUAAGGCGGAGGUGGUGCGAUCGGGGAGAUGGAGCGGAAGGAAGAGAAGCAACAGUUACGCCGGAAGUAGCUGGGGACCAAGGUCUAGCCCGCGUCCCUUCUCCCUCCUCCACCCGCUGUCCCACUUCCUCGUCCGGCCGGGAGGACCUUCGUGGCGACGGCGAGUCGGUCCUUCCUCCGGUCCGAGCGGAGACGACACGGUACUCGCCGCCGCGGCGGAUACGGAGGUGGGGGUGGAAGAAAAGGUACGGAGAAGGAGGCGUAUC
RNAcentral lists this ribosomal RNA (1779 nucleotides) under Triticum aestivum (bread wheat). Its description in RNAcentral is "partial small subunit ribosomal RNA". The record is from RNAcentral. Lineage: Eukaryota; Viridiplantae; Streptophyta; Magnoliopsida; Poales; Poaceae.